Long non-coding RNA from Vespula pensylvanica (western yellowjacket), 418 nucleotides. RefSeq lists it as uncharacterized. The record is from RefSeq and is a predicted model, not a curated record. The transcript has 3 exons. Lineage: Eukaryota; Metazoa; Arthropoda; Insecta; Hymenoptera; Vespidae.
UCGACGUAAACAAGUAACGUACCGCCAUAUCACGAGACAUUAAGAACCCAGUGAGUUCGAACCGAACGUCGUUCCGCCUUUCCACUCGCGUUAAAGACGAUGACAAGGAAGAGAAAGAGAAGGAAAAGGACAGAGACAGCCUCCCGAAUGGUGGAAAGCGAAGAAAGCUCGGAAGAAUGGAAACGGGAGGCCGCGAGAAUACCGCGAGAAACGACGUCGACGACAACGACGACGAAUACGACGAUGGCGACGACGAAGACGAUGCUUGUGGCGUCGUCGGCUGCGGAAACCAUUAUUUCGUCGAGGCGAGCUGAAAAAUUAUUUCCCCCUGCAACCUUCGAUCGUUGAAGCAAGUCGGCCGUUAUCCAGCCGAUCUCAUCAUCGGAUCGCUCUUGUCGCGAUGGUAACGUCGUAGUCG